This is a long non-coding RNA of Conger conger (European conger), 2008 nucleotides long. RefSeq lists it as uncharacterized. Lineage: Eukaryota; Metazoa; Chordata; Actinopteri; Anguilliformes; Congridae. The transcript has 3 exons. The record is from RefSeq and is a predicted model, not a curated record.
UAAUUUAGCUGCUUUACAACAACAACCAUCGCUAGCCGGCAAGCUAUUUGACUUUAGCCAACUAAGUUAGCUCGUGGAAGCUAAUGAAACCACCACCCUGACCAAGACAUCACUUCGUUAAAACACGCGGCAGCAGAAUACAACGGACGCCUGUUAAAUUAACAUAAAAUGCUUGAAAACAUUAGCAAACGCUACGUGAUGAUGCCAUAUUCUUGCGCAAAGAAAAGACCCGCUUACCUUCCAAAAGGCGCUGGAUUAUACUGUCUAUGUUGAGCUUGUCUACAUCGGCCAUAGUUUGCUCGAUGGCGGUAGUAUAAAUAUAAUGAUCGGCUAGCCUACUAUAAUAAUAAUUGGAAAAAACUGCCCAGUGUUGAUUUCUUUACGUUUCUUCUCAUGUACGCUAAAGCUAGACAACCAGCGCCUCUCCACGCCUCAACUCGACUCGCUCCAGUUCUGUCGCUCUCCACCCUGGCCCUGCCCGUGUGCUGACUACCGAGACCGCCGGGUAGCGGAGUGAUAUGACAGGCCCAAAAUACAGAACGAAUUUCAUUGGAUGCAAUGAACUCCUGCCCUUGCAUUGUGACACUAAUCCCAGCACUGGCCAAAGUCCUGGGACAGGACAGCAUCGAUGAUGUCACCUACGUUCGUAAGAACACUGCACCAGGGCUUGCUUCAAACAGAGCCCUUUGUCUGUUUCUGCAUGUUGUAGACCAAAAAAACACGACAGAUGGGGGGCUUGCAUGCAGGCAGUGCAUUACCAAGGGUGAAAUUCACCAGUGGCUCCAGUCAUGAAUCCAGCGGGCAUGAAGGAGACGCCAGAGGGUGUUUUCAAGCGUUGCUGUUGCCAUCACAACACCCUUUGACCUAUGAAUUUCAAAUUGGCUACCAAUGUCACUCAGGGGAAUGUAUUCCUGUGGCUUCUGUAGCUUGGUUGCUUCUAUAUUGUGCCCCCAAAACCCCCAAAACCCAGACCCUGAAUGAGCCUCAUGCCUUUUCAAUGGUAGAGAUUACUAUGGGUGUAUGAUCAGCUGAACAGAGGUCAAUUUCAGUCAGCAGAGGUCUGGUUUUGUGUUGUGUCUUACCUCUGUGAGGGGGUGCUGAAACAAAAAGGAGUGACCAUGGUCUUCAAUGUGCCGCCCGUAAAAUAUUCUGUGUUAAAUCAGGCCUUAUGGAGUACAUUUGUUGCCUAACAGACUCCUACCUGUAUGUACUCUGUUUGAUCGGAUUGAACACAUUUUUACUGUGCACUUGAAACGAGUGUAAGCAUUUCAUGAUAAUCUCAAGAGUGACUAUUGUUAAAUUUGUAAAGAUCUUCGUAUUAUGUACCUACAUUAUUUUCUUUAUUUUGUAAGAAGAUAUGCAGAUCCUCAGAGAACAAAGUACAGCGAUGGCAUAAAUUGUACUGUACAUAACAGAAAAUAUCCAAAGUCCACCAGCCAUCUGUUAAAAUGUGCAAAAAAGAAAAAGUGAAUACAAUGUCUUGGCUGCUCACACCUUUUCAGGAUUUCUAAUACAAUUGCUUUAUUGGCAUGACAUACAAAUGUAAAUAUUGCCCAAGCAUAUAAUAAUAUUACAAUAAUAAUGUUAAAAUUAUAAUAGUGAUGGUGAUAAAUGUAACAAUAUACAUUCACCGAGCACUUUUUUUUAAGGUAUUUAGCCUAUCCACUUAGAGUUAUGAUGCGUUGUGUGUUCAAAGAUGGUCUUCUGCGUACCACUGUUGUCAUGUGUGUUCAUUUGCAUUAUUGUCACCUUCCUGUCAACUUUGACCAGUCUGGCCAUUCUCCUCUGAUAUCUCUCAUUAACAAGGCGUUUCAGUCUGCAGAACUUGUGCUCACUGGAUUUUUUGUUUUUGCUUUUUGCACCAUUCUUUGGAAACCCUAGUGUGCAUGAAAAUCCCAGGAGAUCAGCAGUUUCUGAGAUACUCAAACCGCCCUGUCUUUCCACAGUCAAAGUCACUUAGAUCAAAUUUUUUCCCCAUUCUGAUGGUUGAUGUGAACAUUAACUGAAA